UGGCUCAAAAAGAGACUGACACAGAAAACAGGAAACGACAUAAAGGAAGCAUAAACAACAGAAAACAAUUAAACCCACUACAGAAGCACACUAACCAAAACAACAAAAACAAAUAGAAAGCCAACAGACACAAAAAACAGCCACAAAAUCAAAACCAUUAGCAGAGAAACCCACUAAGAAUACCAGCCAAUUCUUUCCGACGAACAGAACCCCUUCACAGCCUUAAAAAAGAAACGGAAAGAGACGACUUUGAAACCCAGCAAAGGAGAUUCAACGAACCUUCUCCAAUUUUCAAAGCCCACUAACAGCUCAGCACCAAUGAUACCUAGCAGAUCAAUCCAUCUCGGCCAACGGUGCAACAGAACUUGGUGCCUCCUCAACCCAGAAACAUGGUAAGAUCCGAUGACGACCAUCCAUUGCCAACGCAUGCGUCAUCCGAUUAGUAUCUCUGGGAACAAACUGGUACACCACCUCCUUAAAAAAUCUCUCUAAAAGCUGAAUAUUCUGUGAAAUUGGGCUUAGAAUAGAUCUAUCCACUAUGUUUGAGUUUAAUUUCUUAAUAACAGUAAGAGAAUCAUCUUCCAGGAUGAGAUUUCUGAAACCCAUAUCCAACGCAAAGUAAAGAGCCCUUUUACACGCUCUCACCUCUGCUACAAAAGCAUCUGCCACAUCCGCUAUCGUGUAAGUACAAGCACCCAAUAUCUAUCAUUCCUCAUCUCUAGUUAACACUGCUAAAAUAGAAAUCUUAGUGUUGUCCAUAAACGAUGUGUCGAAAUUCAGCUUAAUAAACCCAAAUGUAGGUGGCCGCCACAAAAUAUUCCUUGGUAUAUCAAGAGAAAAACUUUAAACUCUACUGGUACUGAAAUCGUGGGCAUAACUUUGAACAAACCCCACAAUUUCAUGUAUGUCAAAAUUGAAACCUUUAUUUACCAGCCUAUUCCUCUUAAACUAAAGGGCCCAUAAAGAAAUAGUUAGAAGUUUCUUAAAUUUCAUAUAACUGCAAGAAAGAAACUUACAAAUUGUGUUCUUCCAUCUGAGGGACCUAUACUGUUAUCAAAGGAGAGAUGCAGAUAAAGCCAGAGUUGACGCAAGACACUAUAGAACCAUAAUAGAUGGUGCAAGUCCUCCGGGGACUUUUUACACAAAGGACAGACUUAUCAACAUGCAGUCUCCUUUUGGCCAAAUUGGAGAAAUGAGGCACAUAGUCCUUUAGAAUACACCAUAGAUGAAUUUUAAUAUUAGCAGGGAUUUUAAGGUCCCAACUAGAUGUAUAGAGUAUUUUGUCAUUUUCAUUUGUACUCAAAUUACUGUCUGUAUACUAGGUCACUUUUGUAAGUAAUGCUCGAUACCCACUCUUCAUUGAAUACUCCCCUGAAGCAUCAUAGUGCCAAACAAGCAAAUCUGGAAUACUACACCCAGCAAGAGGAAUGUUGAUAAUGUGUCGAGCAUGAACUUCAUCGCAUAUCUUAAAAAUCACCUCAUUUUUCCAAGUACCAGAAUCCGCAUUAAUCAAUUGAUCAAUAGUAGACCAAUGAGAAUCCAUAUUCGUUACUAACAAUCUGCCAUUUCCAGGACUAGGGAGCCAGGGAUCAUUCCAGAUAUUCACCUUCGCACCAUUUCUAAUUCUCCACAAGAGCCCGUCAUCAAAUAAGUCCCUAGCACAACAGAUACUCCUCCAGGUAAAAGAAGGGUAAGAACCAAUUUUAGCUGAUAGUAUAUUAGUAAAAGGAUAAUAUCGGGAUUUAAAAACUUUUGAGAUAAGGCAGUAGGGCUGGGUUAAAAGCUUCUAGACUUGCUUAGCUAAAAGGGCUUUAUUGAACAAAUAUAGGUCCCGAAAACUCAUCCCACCAUUAACCGUCGGCAAACAGGGUGCACUUCAAGUGCUCAAAUGGAUUCCUUUGGCAAUUUUACUAUUUGCCCACCAAAACUUGUUCAAUAUACCUUCAAGUUGAUAACAUAUCUUUUUUGGCAAUGCAAAACAUUGUAUCACAUAAACCGGAAUUGCUUGAAGGACAAUAUUGAUACAAAUUUCUUUACCGCCCAUCAAUAAAUACCGAAGCUUCCAACCCUCAAUUCGCCUGCGAAAUCUGUCCACGAAAUAAGCAAAAGCCCAUUUUUUCUUCGCCGGUAAACUGUCAUUAUGAAUAGCCCAUACCUUUAGAACUGUCUCUUCAAAAGAAUUAUCCAAACACCAUGAAAUAAAAUGCUUAUAAAAGGAAUUGAAUUUAGGACUGAAGAAUGAAAUUACAAUUAUCUAAUAAUCUAAUCAAAAGAGCUAAUGUGUCAAAAAUAUUAAUUAAAAAUAAAAAAAAAGCUUAAAAUAACAUGAAAUAAAAAAAAUACAAAUGUGAGUAGGAGAGGAAUAAAACCUAGGAUUCAAAGAUAAAAAUACUAACAUUUAACCAUCUAAUCAAAAGAGGCGAGUUAUCUAUUUUCAGCUGAUGUGGCUAAAAGCACACUCUAUAGGAUGCGUUUGCAUUAUUUAAACGCAUUUUCCUUUCUCUCUAAAAAAACAAAGAUCGAUAAAUUUAAAAAAAAAUAGCAUAAUACUCAAAUAAAUUUUUUUUCAGCAUAUAUUAAAAAAUUAGUUCUUUUUUAUAUGAGUGUUAGAUUUGCUGCAGCUAUGAACAUAUAGAUAAAUAAUAGUUUACAACACCGUUUUUUUUUUGUUUUGUUUUCUCCACUAACCAAAUAUGAAGACAUUUCCAUCGGUUGCACCGUAUUGCAUUGUAGCUUAGCAUGACAUUACAUUUGUUACAUAUAUACAUACUUACAAUUUCAAUUCGACUGAAAAAUUAAUAAAAAUUGUUUUUUUAUAGAAUCAUAUAUAUUAUUAUGAAAAUAUUUUUAUCUUUUUAUAUUUUAUAUAAAAUUAAAUAAAAAAAUUAUACAUAAUAAUAUUUCAACAGUUCUAAUAUAAUUUUUUUAUACAAUAUCUAAAACUACCCAUAACCUUCCUACUCGUAAAUAAUAUUUCAACAAUUAAUAGGACAAUAAAUGGGCUUCAACGCAUUUGAACCCAUCUACUCCUGCUCUAGCAAUAAUAAUGUUUGAUAUCUCACUCAGCCAACAAAGAACUAAAACUAAGCUAUGAACAAAAAAAAAAUGAAAACAAAAAACAAAAUAAAGUCUACUUCUUUUAUUUAUAAUAACUCUGAUAAUCUCAAAAUGUUGAAACUGACUCAAAACGAUGAAACUGAGUCUAGGAUUUAUACAAAGAGAUUAGGAGCUGCAAAUAGUAGUUAAUGCUAACAAAAAUCCUACACUGACUUUCCUUGCAGUUGACUAACAAAAUGCCAAAAAUACAAUAGCUUAGAAACUAACUACUUGACUAACUGAAGAAACUGAAAUAUAGUUUACCUAAGCUAAUAUAAUAUGUGCUAAUACAGUUCUCUAAUAUCCACCUAUUUACCCUUCUUUUGAAAGCUCUCCAAACUUGUUUUCAACCUUUAGUUUGCUUCGAAAUUUGCCGAAAAGUAACUCAUACAAAGGUUUUGUAAACACAUAAGCUAUUUGGUCUUGAUUAGGCACCUAACCAACAACCAAAUUUCUAGUUGCUACCUUUUAUUGAAUGAAAAACAGAUCCAAUUCAACAUGUUUAAAUUUGAAAUGCAACACAAGAUUGAUUGCAACAACAACUCCUCCUGAGUUAUCACACCAAAGUUGAGAUUUAUCAACAAGUGAUGUUUGCAACUCACCAAGUAAAGACUCGAGCCACAUAAUCUAUAUUGUGGUAUGUGUCAUAGUAUGUGUCAUACUCCUGUAUUUUGCCUCAAAAGUAAAAUGUGACACAAUAUGUUGCUUCUUAGAACACCAAGCUAUUUGAUUCCCACCAAAGAACACACAAAAUCCAAUUGUUAAUCUUCAAUUGUUGAUAUUAGCUCCCCAAUUAACAUCAACAAAGCUACCCAAAGACAAACAUGAAGUAGGUUGAAAAGACAAACCAUGAUCCGUUGUUCCCUGGAGAUACCUUAAGAUGCGCUUGACAACUUUAAAAUGAGUAUCUAAGGGCUUUUUGCAUGAACUGGUAGACCUUGUUGACGACAAAUGCAAUAUUUGGCCUUGUAAUCACUACGUACUGAAGUGUUUCCACAAUGCUAUGAUACUUAGACUUAUUUUCAAUAAGGCUACCAACUUGAGUAGAAAAGAUACCAUUGCUAACCAUGGGUGUAAAGAACCUUUUACUUGGUCCAUAUAAAAUAAAAUUUAACUUAGUUCAUAAAUUAAGGAUUAAGCUAGAGGGGUACUAUGCAUAAAAAGGUGUGACACAACCUUCAAGUUUUUGAGAAUCAACUAAACCUUGACUUUGAUACCAAAAUUGAUACAUAAAGAGUGCGGAAAUGUGGAAGAGGAUUGUAAAGUUUUUCUAAGUUGUAGAUUUGACUUAUGGUUCUAGACAUUCAAAAAAAAACUUAGAUUUUGACACAACCUAAAACGCAAUCAAAUCCAAAUUAGAUAAAACGAUUAACUAAGAUAAAUAAAAUAGAACGAUAAAGAAGAAAAUAAAGAAGAUAGAUAGAAAAGAUAAAACAUGACAAGUAAAAGUCCUAAGAAGCCUUGGAAACAAAAAGAAUCCACAAUCCCCUUCAAGUGACUCUAAUUUUCCCACUAAGAAAGAAAACUUGGUAGGAAAAAGUUUGAAAAUUAUCCCCAUAAUCUGAAAAGAUUGUUAAAACUUUUCUAAAAGAAAACUCAAGAGAAAUUCUUGAAAAGAAAAACUCAAAGAGAAUUUAUUAACUCAAAAAAGAAGUUGUUGAAUAAUAAUGAACUGAUCUUUGUGUACAAUAUAAAGGCCUUUAUAUAGGCUAGCUAAAUAAAUCUAAAUAGAAAUCUUAAGUAUACUAAAAAUUUAAUUAAACUAAACAAGAAGCAGUUUAAAACUAAACUUUCUUGUUGGCAUAAAACUCCUAAAUAACUUAAAAUACUUAAUAAUUAUAAAAAAUUUGGAAUAAAAAAUAAUAAAAUAAUAAGAGCUGAUAAAUACAAUAUUGAGCUCGCAUAUAAUAAAAAUUAAGCUUAAAACCCGAACCUAAUAUGAUUUAAACUCGAAUUAAAUGCCCAAAACAAGUAAUUCUUGUCCAAAACUUUUGCUCACAUAGUCUUCACUAAAACGGUCAUAACUUAAGCUCCUGAACUCAAAAUUGAGUGAUUCAAAGUGCGUUUCGAAACUAAGAGAUAGAUCUUCAAACAUUAUGAGACAUCUUAACCAAGAAAUGCCUGGAUCCCAUCCAAAAAGUUGUCGCAAGUCUGCUGAUUCCCCAAACUUAAAAACUGGCAACUUCGGUGAAUGUAAUUUAAUAAAUUUCACCUAUUUCGUGCAUGUAUCAUUCCUCGUUUCCUCAAAAAGAUUUAUCCUUACAUAUUGUCUUUGAUCAAAACUUAGUUUGAUUUGCUUGGCCUUUGAUUUAUUGUUAGGCCUUGAGGUAGUGUAAGUCCAUCACAUCCAUGGGUUUAAAAUUGGGUUUUGAGACUCGCAUCAUUCCCGCUUUACUCAAGAAGAUUCUUCCUCGAAUAUUUAGCUGCAUAAAAAGAACAGGGAUUAGAAUUUAUUAACAUUAAAAUUUAAAAAAAAUACUUAUCUAAACUUUCUUGGAUGCCAAAAAUAUUUUCAGGAUCAAAGACAUUAUUUCGAUCCUUUAAAUCAGCUUCGAUCAUAGACAGCUCCUUUAAAAAUAAGGUAUCAACACUAAACAAACAAAAUGUUAGGCACACGAGUGUUCAAGUAAAAAAUAACCUAUAACUUUCUUUGAAUAUGCAUGGUCAUCCAUAAGAAUUUCCACCGACGAGUCAAUAAUUUCACAUGAUUAUAAAAAUCAAGAAAAUUAAGAUUAUGUAAAAUUUCAUCAUUAAAGGUCAAGAUAGAAAAUUUUGUUGUUAUGGAAAAUGUAUAAAAUACUUUACUAAACCUAUUUAAUGCAACAAAACUACUAUUUUUAACCUUUACAGAUCUAGAUAAAUCCAUAAAACUAAUUGAAACUUGACUAACGGGAAAACAUGUCAUAAGGAAAUUUAAAAUUAGUAGCAUACUUAUCAAACAAAUGCAAUGCCUUCUUAAUUCAAUUUCUAAUGUUCUGUUGCCUUUCUUAACUUGUAGCACUUGUGGAUAAUUAUCAAUGUUCAACUUACCUCCCUCCUACAAGUAAAAUUGUCUAUCGAUGGUAGAGUAAUGUAAUUGGAAGUCUUUCAAUAGAUCCUUGAAAUCCUGUAACAAGAAAACACCACUAAACAAAUUUGAGUUAUGGUUAGUUAAAACAUAAUCAUUCCUCACAUUUGCAUAAGUAUUUUCUUGUUUUUCAUUUUCUUUUCCCACUUGACAACUCUCCAAUUUUACCUCAUAUGGAUUUUCACUCACCAAAAGUGGACCAUCAAAUAGAUUUUUAUCACUCAAAGUCUCUUUUCUAUCUAUCUUCUUUAUUAUUUUAAUCUUUAAUUUAUUGUUCUAUUUUAUUUAUCUUAAUUAUUUUAUCUUUGUAACGGCCUAAUUUUCAGUGGUGUCGGAAAUGGUGAUUUGAGAUCACUAAAUUCGACAAAUAAGAUUGAACAAGAUAGUGAUUUAAUAUUUAUGAGUCAAGUAAGAAUUUAGAAGAAUUUGUGAAAUGGUGAAAUUAGUGAAUUAGAAGAAUUUAUUAGGUCAAAUGGGUCAAAAAUGAGGUAUCGAGACCUCGAAUUUGAAAAUCAAGCUAUAAAUAUUUUUAUAAAUAUUUUUGAAGUUUCAGUUAGCUAGUAUUAAAGUUUGGUUGAGAAAUUUUAACAAUUAGGUAGUCAAUUAAAUAAAAAGGACUAAAUUGUAAUAAAAAUAAAUUUUGCUAAAAGGAUUAAAUAGCUCAAGUGUUAAAAGAAGGAAGAUUUAAAGGGAAAUUAAGCCUAAAAGUGAAUAGGCUGGACGGCAAAGGCAAGAAAGUCAGUAGAAAAAUAAGGGAAAUAAAGGCAAAAUUGGAAAUUUUACAACUUUAACAUAUAAAAUAAGAACAAAAUUGAAGAAUCUAGAGAUCUCUUCAUAUUUUAUCAGCCAAAACGCCAUAGAAGGUCUGGAGAAAGUUGGUUUUUCAUAUUUUACAUCAUAUCAAGAAAACGAACUGAAUCGUGGAAAGGAGAAAAUUCAAGAAUAGUCCCUGAAUUUCUACGACUUUUGCAAAUUAGUCCAGGUAAGUUUAUAUGGCAAAGUUCAAUGUUUUGAUAUGAAAAUCUUAUGAUUGUUAAAGUAUUUUAUUGUUGAUGAAUACUAUCAAUUUGUAUUAACUAAUAAAUAAUGUGUAACUAAAAGUACAAAUUAGUAGGAACAAUGGAUUUGAGUGCUUCUAUUCUGUGAUCCUGAUGAAUUGACGAAAAAUAUGUGAUAAGUGUGCCCGUUUAAGACCAUAGCUGGGCUAUGGCAUCGGUGCAAUGUGAUAAUGUGACUCCGUAUAAGACCAUAGCUGGGCUAUGGCAUCGGUAUAAUGUGAUAAUGUGAUUCCGUAUAAGGCCAUGUCUGGGAUAUGGCUUCGGUAUGAUAUGUGAACAAUGUAAGACCAUGGCAAGGCUAUGGCUUCGGUGUGUGAUGCGUAACAAUGUGAAAGUCCAUAGUUUACUAUGGCAAUGUGAUAUUGAAGCACUCAAUUCCCUUAUUGUUCCCUAAUUUGACAAUGAAGUAAAUGAGAAAUGAGCCUAAGGGAGUUAAAUUGUGAGUAGCCAUAUGGAAAUUAUUCCAAUGAGUUAUUAAUGAAAUUGUGAUUUGGAGGAUGAAAUAGUUAAACUAAUAGAUAAAUGAUUGUGUACAAUAUUUAAUAUGAUUUGUGUUUUUAUGCCUAUGAGCUUAUUAAGCUUCAAUAAGCUUACUUGUGUGUGUUUGAUAAUUUCUUUUGUAGAUUGAAUUAAAGAGAAGUUGGUAGAUUGGAUCAAUACAACAGGGCACACUAUUCAGAUCAAUUCCGGUAGUUUUUGUUUUAUGUUUAAAGAUUUAUAUGGCAUGUAUAGAGUUUGAAUGAAUUGAAGUAAGGAUGUUAUAAACUAGUUAACAAUAUUUGUACUAAAACAAUUUUUGGUAAGUAGCAGUAGUUUGACUUUGAAAAUUCACCAUAAAUUGUGGAAAUUGAGUUAAGGGCUGAGAAAAAAAAUGAGAUUAAAGCCUACUGAGUCUAGUUUCAUAUAGAGGAAACGGUGCAUGCAAUUGGAUUUUAUGUUAUGAGAUAUUUAAAUUGUGGUGAGACAGAGUCUGAAUGACUUCGAGUUCCCCUGUUCUGAUUUUAGAAAAUCAUUAAAAAUUUCAAAAAAAUAAUUAUGAGUCAUACUGUAUAUGUAUGGAUUCCUCAUUGGGUCUAUUUUUAAGAGAAACAAACGGCAUGGUUAUUUGAAUUUUUUACAGAUAGAAAUUUGUUUUGUAGUGCACAGGGGUCAAAGUAGCCAAACCCUAAAAUAGGGGAGGAUUUAACUAAUAAACUGUACUAAUUGGACCAACCAAAAAUUAUAUAAAAAAAUUGUUAAGUAGAUAUAUGAGUAUAAAUUCGGGGAAAAUUUACGGAUUUGGAUUUCGAGUUUUAUAACUCGAGAUAUGAAUUAUUUAGCAACUAUGACGCAGUUGGACAGCUUGUCUAAAAAAUAUGAUAUAAAUUAUCUGAAUUUGGUUAAGUGCUCAAAUAAGUUUAGUAGUGCCUUGUGCUCGACUCCGGCAACGGUCUCGGGUAAGAGGCGUUACAAUAUUUGAUUUAUUUGUAACACACCAAACCCGAUCCCUUUGAAGGACCCAUGUAUGAUAUGUCACUACUUAGAAAUAAUCCAUAUUUAAAAUUAUUUUUGGCGAAAAUUUUGUAUAAUUUGCAGUAUUUGGAUUAAACUUUUAAUAAAAUACUAAAAUAAAGUAUAAGCCAAAUGAUGUAUAAACUUUAAUAAGGUAAUUUCAUUAUUGAAAUAUAUAAUUAUGAAACCAUUCCAAAAACUUAAAUGAAAUUUCAUUAAAGCAUUAUUUAUCAAUCAUAAGUUUCAAUUACGAUUUCAUCUAAAAAAUACAAUUAGACAUCACUGAUAAACCGUAAAUUAUACAUAUUUUUACCCCAUGUUUAAUACAUUUUAUAGAUGAUUUCUCAUUAGAAUUGGUGAAUUCGAUACUCCUAAUGUUUUAAUUUCAUGUUUUGUACUCAGGAGAGCACCAAGAGUUAAAAGGAGCCAAAAACGAGCCAAAAAGAGACAAAACGGACCAAAUUGAGAAGAUGGCACAGCUUAAGCCUUGCCACACGGGCAGCUCACACGCCCGUGUCUUUCGAGGGUGUCGGUCGACCAAGGCUUUCACGAUUCACACGGCCUGACCAUUGACCCACACGGCUGUGUGCAAUUUAACGGAUCGAACAUGGCCUGGCAAUCACGUCACACGGCCAUGUCACACGGGCGUGUCCCUGCUGAGCCCAAGUUAAGUCCAAUUCAGAAAAGGCCACUUUGGAGGGUUUCUAGGCAUUCCAAAGCCUAUACAUACGCACUAGAGGAGGAGAAAAGGGGAGAAGGAGAAGAGGGGUAAGGAAUUACCCUAAGGAAGCCGAUUGAUCCAUCUCAGAAGCCGGAUUCAUCAUCAAGACUAAAAAUCUCUCCCCAAUUCCCCUUCAGGAGUUUUAGGUUUUCUUUAUGUUUUGUAUUCUUUAUUCUUCUGAAAUGUUUUCUUAUUUAGUUAUGAACUAAAUCCCCUAAAUACCUAAGGGGAAUGAAACCUAAGACGAAUCUUGUUAUUAUUUUCUGAAUCGUAUGAUAAAUAUUUAACUUGUUCUUAAUUAUGUGUUCUUAAUUCUUGUUUUGAUAUCCUAGGAUAUUGAUUCAAGACACGCUCUUAUUCAGAGGGGGAAUAGACCCUGUCUAAGAGUGCAUUUGCCAUAAUUAAACGGAGUUGAUUGCUUGCCUAGAAAUAGGGUGACAAGAUUUUUCCGGAUUAGGGUGAAA
RNAcentral lists this long non-coding RNA (9897 nucleotides) under Gossypium barbadense (sea-island cotton). Its description in RNAcentral is "long non-coding RNA (GBAR_LNC007559)". The record is from RNAcentral. Lineage: Eukaryota; Viridiplantae; Streptophyta; Magnoliopsida; Malvales; Malvaceae.